UUCAAGAAGUUUUCCAACUAAGGAGUUUAACGUGGCACCGCAGGAUCAUGACCACAGCGCCUACGAUAAACACUUCGUCUCUCCUACAUCAUUACUUGCUAUGUUCUUCGGUGGCCUCCACAGUCAGAAUCACUGCUUCUCAUUCCACUCCUGUCUUUUUCGAUAAAGAAUCAAAUGCAUUUUUGGAUCAUCAAAUGGAAUUAGGAAUUAUAUAACUUCCAGCAGUCAUUUUCAACUAAGGAGAUGAAAUGAAGGUUGAAUCAGAGUCACCCGUGACACUGUCAACACACUCUCUCCUCUCAACAGGCCCCAUUUUCUCCUAGAGAUUCUAGCACAUUCUUGUCUCGGGGGCAGCAUGGAUAGACUCUGCCACUGUGAUCAAUAGUUACUUAUAAGAGUGGGUUGUAUCUCCCAAAUACUGGGAUGGGGAAAAGGUAGAGAAAGAACUCUGUUGUCUUGGAGCAACAUUUCUCAACAGUGUCCUAGGUCUUCGAGUAUUUGUGAAGUUAGCAACAGAGACCUGCGGGUAAUGUUCAUUAUUUUUUAAAACAACCUUAUGGAAACUUUAUAUCUAAUAAAGCUGCUCUAGCUGCUGGCUGAAACCAUGUCUCUUGUCUUCAAGCUAAAAUUAUAUCAACUGAUGGUGAUGAGGUGACUAGUGUAAA
RNAcentral lists this long non-coding RNA (665 nucleotides) under Canis lupus familiaris (dog). Its description in RNAcentral is "lncRNA (ENSCAFG00000050273.1)". The record is from RNAcentral. Lineage: Eukaryota; Metazoa; Chordata; Mammalia; Carnivora; Canidae.